RNAcentral lists this ribosomal RNA (724 nucleotides) under uncultured bacterium. RNAcentral describes it as "bacterial SSU rRNA". It matches the Rfam family "Bacterial small subunit ribosomal RNA", at positions 1 to 625 of the family's 1533-position model. The record is from RNAcentral.
GCGGAUCCGCGGCCGCUGCAGAGUUUGAUCCUGGCUCAGGACGAACGCUGGCGGCGUGCCUAACACAUGCAAGUCGAGCGGUCUAACACUCAACACUGAGCACUUAUAAAAAGUGAGAUACCGAAACUUAAGCCAGCGUCAAGCGAGCGACAGCGUCUUCACGCAAAAUAGCCAACACAUGCUUAAGUGUUUAGUGUUGAGUGUUAGAUAGCGGCGGACGGGUGAGUAACACGUGGGCAACCUGCCCUAUACAGGGGGAUAGCCAACCGAAAGGCUGAUUAAUACCGCAUAACCCAGCGAGAGGGCAUCCUUAAGCUGGCAAAGGAGAAAUCCGGUAUAGGAUGGGCCCGCGUCCCAUUAGCUAGUUGGUGAGGUAACGGCUCACCAAGGCGACGAUGGGUAGCCGAUCUGAGAGGAUGAACGGCCACAUUGGAACUGAGACACGGUCCAGACUCCUACGGGAGGCAGCAGUGGGGAAUAUUGCGCAAUGGGGGAAACCCUGACGCAGCAACGCCGCGUGAGCAAAGAAGGCCUUCGGGUCGUAAAGCUCUGUCUUUAGGGACGAAGAUGACGGUACCUAAGGAGGAAGCCACGGCUAACUACGUGCCAGCAGCCGCGGUAAUACGUAGGUGGCGAGCGUUGUCCCGAAUUACUGGGCGUAAAGGGUGCGUAGGCGGGAAAUUAAGUCAGAUGUGAAAACCCCGCGCUCAACCUGGGGAGUGCA